AUCAUGCCGCUAUCAAACUUGUGC
Molecule: non-coding RNA, 24 nt
Filed under: Arabidopsis thaliana (thale cress)
Lineage: Eukaryota; Viridiplantae; Streptophyta; Magnoliopsida; Brassicales; Brassicaceae
Source: RNAcentral